AUUACCGAGUGCGGGCCCCUCGGGGCCCAACCUCCCACCCGUGUUGCCCGAACCUAUGUUGCCUCGGCGGGCCCCGCGCCCGCCGACGGCCCCCCUGAACGCUGUCUGAAGUUGCAGUCUGAGACCUAUAACGAAAUUAGUUAAAACUUUCAACAACGGAUCUCUUGGUUCCGGCAUCGAUGAAGAACGCAGCGAAAUGCGAUAACUAAUGUGAAUUGCAGAAUUCAGUGAAUCAUCGAGUCUUUGAACGCACAUUGCGCCCUCUGGUAUUCCGGAGGGCAUGCCUGUCCGAGCGUCAUUGCUGCCCUCAAGCCCGGCUUGUGUGUUGGGCCCCGUCCCCCCCGCCGGGGGGACGGGCCCGAAAGGCAGCGGCGGCACCGCGUCCGGUCCUCGAGCGUAUGGGGCUUCGUCACCCGCUCUAGUAGGCCCGGCCGGCGCCAGCCGACCCCCAACCUUUAAUUAUCUCAGGUUGACCUCGGAUCAGGUAGGGAUACCCGCUGAACUUAAGCAUAUCAAUAAGCGGAGGAAAAGAAACCAACCGGGAUUGCCCUAGUAACGGCGAGUGAAGCGGCAAGAGCUCAAAUUUGAAAGCUGGCCCCCUCGGGGUCCGCAUUGUAAUUUGCAGAGGAUGCUUCGGGAACGGCCCCCAUCUAAGUGCCCUGGAACGGGCGUCAUAGAGGGUGAGAAUCCCGUCUGGGGAUGGGGUGGCCGCGCCCGUGUGAAGCUCCUUCGACGAGUCGAGUUGUUUGGGAUGCA
RNAcentral lists this ribosomal RNA (756 nucleotides) under fungal sp. RNAcentral's name for it is "eukaryotic LSU rRNA". The stretch from base 471 to 756 matches the Rfam family "Eukaryotic large subunit ribosomal RNA", at positions 1 to 284 of the family's 3401-position model. The record is from RNAcentral. Lineage: Eukaryota; Fungi.